GACAGAGGUUGCAAGCGUUGUUCGGAAUCACUGGGCGUAAAGGGCGCGUAGGUGGCUGAAUAUGUCUGAUGUGAAAGCCCUUGGCUUAACUGAGGAAGUGCAUCAGAAACUAUUUAGCUGGAGUGCAGAAGAGGAUGGCGGAAUUCCCGGAGUAGCGGUGAAAUGCAUAGAUACCGGGAGGAACACCUGAGGCGAAGGCGGCCAUCUGGUCUGUAACUGACGCUGAAGAGCGAAAGCACGGGUAGCAAAC
RNAcentral lists this ribosomal RNA (250 nucleotides) under uncultured bacterium. RNAcentral describes it as "partial 16S ribosomal RNA". It matches the Rfam family "Bacterial small subunit ribosomal RNA", at positions 524 to 773 of the family's 1533-position model. The record is from RNAcentral.